ACGCUCGACACCUACGGGUGGCAGCAGUGGGGAAUAUUGCACAAUGGGGGAAACCCUGAUGCAGCGACGCCGCGUGAGCGAAGAAGUAUUUCGGUAUGUAAAGCUCUAUCAGCAGGGAAGAAACUGACGGUACCUGACUAAGAAGCACCGGCUAAAUACGUGCCAGCAGCCGCGGUAAUCUGAGCGGGCUGGCAAGGC
Molecule: ribosomal RNA, 198 nt
Filed under: uncultured bacterium
Lineage: Bacteria
Description: partial 16S ribosomal RNA
Rfam family: Bacterial small subunit ribosomal RNA
Source: RNAcentral